CAGAAGAAAAGAAGGUCAUCUGACCAGGGAGACAGAGACUGGAGUGAUGAGGCCACAGCCUAAGGAAUUUGGUCAGCUACCAGAACCUAAAAGACACAAGGAAUGAAUUCUAUUCCCUGGAGCCUCCAGAAGGAACCAGCCCUGUCAAUACCUUACAUUUAUUUUUUAUUUAUUUAUUUAUUUUGAGAUGGAGUCUCACUCUGUCACCUGCACUGGAGUGUAGUGGCACGAUCUCAGCUCACUGCAAACUCUGCCUCCCAGGUUCAAGCGAUUCUCCUGCCUCAGCCUCCCGAGUAGCUGGGAUUACAGGCUCCCGCCACCACGCCCAGCUAAUUUUUUUUGUAUUUUUAGUAGAGAUGGGGUUUCACCGUGUCAGCCAGGAUGGUCUCGAUCUCCUGAUCUCGUGAUCCGCCCACCUCGGCCUCCCGAAGUGCUGGGAUUACAGGCUUGAGCCACCGCGCCCGGCCGAUACAACUUUUUAAAACAUCUCUAGGUUAAUGAAUUACUCUGAAACACUGAAAUCCUUACCAUGAAGAGCAGUUCAGCGCAAUGGUUGUCCAUGAUCACCACAGUUACUUAAGACAAAACUGCUGCUUAGCCGGCUCUGUACUUUACUGCCACCACUUUUGCAUCAAUUCCAGAAAAUAUAUUAGAAUGCAAGAGCAUGAGAUGCCCUGUGCCAUUUAUUUAUAAAAAUAAAUCAACAAUAAUUUAUUUUAAAAGCAAAUUAUUCACUAACUUUGAUAUUCUUACAACUAACCAGUAAUAAUAUGUUACUGGCAGUAUCCUUUACAACUAAUCAUGAUAUAUUGGUGUGUCCCUAUCUAAGAACAAGGGUGGGAAAGCCACAGUCCAUAAGCAAACCCCGCCUGCUUCCUGUUUUUGUGCAGCCUGCAAGCUAAGAAUGGUCUUUGGAUUUUUUUAAUGGCUUUCUGAAAAAAAUCAAAAGGAAAACAUUUGUGACAUUUGAAAAGUACAUGAAAUUCAAAGUUCAGUGUCAAUUAAGUUUUAUUGGAACAUAGCCAUGCUCAUUCAUUUAUGUAUUGUUUAUAGCAGAGCCAAACAGAGACUGAAAAGCCAAAAAACUACUAUCUGACCCUUAACAGAGAAAGUUUGCUGACCCCUGGAGUAGAGAUAAGAAUGACACACAACCUCAGUGGUCACGUCUCUUAUGCACAAAAUCCUGAAUAUAGACAGUAAACUUAAUUCCAGAAAUAGUAGUAAAUACCAUCUAGGAUGGAAAUCCAUUCCUGAGUUGUCCAAACUUUCUGAUUUCUUUAAUGACAAAAGCCAACUUAAUUAAAUACAGCUUCUGCAUUCUAUCUGAAAUCAUGUUUAUAUAUUCACCUUUUGACUCAGCGGAGCAAUAAAAAAAGCACUGGGCUCCAAGUUAGAAGACCUAGGUUUUAGGCAAUUUCUUUUAAAUUGUUACAUUGUUAAAAAUGUAUUUAAGUCUUGUUUGAUCUGUGUAUUAAACCUAUUAAAAGAACUAAAAUGACUGGUAAAAUAAAGAAUCAAAAUGCUUUUAAGCAGAAAAGAAAGUUGAUAUAGAGUAAAACAUGCUCCUUUCCUCUAAAUAUAACUAUAAAAAGUCCUCCAAUUAAUUGUAAAUUACUAAAUGGGGGAAAAAAGGCACCUAGCUAAUUGGAGUAUGGAUAGUGGGUUCCAUUUAAUAAAAGUUUUAAUGGAUGUGCACGAAGGUGCAUGAAUGUGUAGGAAAUCAUAUCACCUCCUUAGGCUUCAGCUGCACCUCUGUAAAAUAAGAGCAUUGGAUUAAAUGGUCUCUAAAGUCCUGGCCAGCACUGGUAAUUUAUGUCAAGUGACCAGCCUCAGUUUUUUCAUCUGUAAAAUUGGAUAAAUAAUAGAAUCUACUUCCUAUGGUUGCGGUGAGGAUUAAAUGAGUUAAUUCAUGUAAAGUGCUUAGAACAGCACUAAAUAUAUUUCACUAGCAUUAUUAUUAAUCUAUUCAGGUACUUUACGAAAAACACUGGUUGGGCAUCUCCUCUGUGACAAGUAGUAUAUUAGAAAAUGGGAAUACAGACAUAAAAUAGAAGUUGAUUCUCUUAUAUUUAAGUAGGGAUGAAUGAAACUGAAGUUUUUGGAAUUAUCACUUCAGCAUGUCUAUCGACUGCUAGUUCUCUGAGAUAAUGGUCAAAGGCCAUUCUGUAUCACUGGUGUGAAUUCUUAUUUCUGAAAAAUGAUUACUGUUAGUACUGUUACUAAGGAUGUUUCUAUUUAUGUUUCAAAAGACAAAGUUCAGUGUUUGCUAACAUAAUUAUUUAUGGUUUGAGCAUAGGAGGAAGAAUAUAAAAAUGUUGGCCAGUCUCCCAAUAUACAUGAAAUGCAAGCCUUCUGAACCAAACAAACUUGCCAUAGAAGUAUAGUUUCACAUAUAGAUUCAUUCCACAAAUGUUUGCUGAGUACCUGAUAUGGAUAAAUAUCUGCUACAAUGAUGAGUAAUGGUCUCUGCAUUAGGGAGAUAACAAGGAGGACAAGCCAGCAAUUCUAGAAAAGUAUAACGAGCAUGUUGAUGAGGAAGCCCAAUGUGCUAUGGGAGCAUUUGAUGGGGGCCUGGACCUAUGUAGUCCAGAGAUUUGGAGGAAAAAAUAUUUAAGUUGUGACCUGAUAGGUGAAUAGGAGUUCAUCAAGCACAAGAGGUGGAGAAUAUGAACAAAAUGAGAGGUGAGAUAGAGCAGGUCUGAAGAACUGAGAGCCUCUCAGUCUUGCUAAGACAUAGCAAGUGAGGAGGAGUGGCAAAAGAUGAUAUUGCAGGUCACAGAAAUGGCUUGCAUUUUACCUUAAUGGCACUGAGAAGUCAUUGAAAGUUCUAAGCAUAAAUAAGCAAAAUCGGUAAUCAAAUGAGAAAUCACUAGUGAAAUAAUUAGCUUGAUUAGAAAUGUAAGCGGAAGGAAGCUGCAUUCACUUCUUCCUUCCCUGCCUGCUACUAAGCUGAAGUCUCUCUUUUGUUUUAACCUGUUUGUAGCUCAAAUAUUAUACACAUAAGAGAGAGAAAUAUAAAAAUAUUUGCUUCUUAUUUACAACAUGGCUGCCUGCAUAUCAGUAUCUUCACUACUAAACAGCCACUAGAGCUGAGAAGAUGAGACACAGGCCAGACUUAGCCAUGCCCAGAGUGGAGUCAAGGACUUGAACCAGGGGACUUGAGUUUGAAUCCUACCCAGUUCCAUUAUGCACUUGAUGUCAUUUAAUUUCUCCCCAUCUGCAAUGAACAGAAUUUCUCCUCCAUCCCUCCUUGGAAGCUUUUGGUAACUGUGUUUGUUGAUGUUUUCCUUAUUUUGGUUCAACUCCAGGAGAAUGUGAAAGCUCUCCCCACAGGCAGACUUUCACCUGUGACAUGAAUCUGGAGGGUGGUAUUAGAAAUCACAAUCACCAGUGUUGCUCAAUCAUAAAGCCCACGAAGUUGGAACCAGCUUUAAAGCAACAAGGGCAAGCCAGAGAACUCUAGAAUGCCAGAGUGGAAAUGUCUCAGCAGCACUAACUAUACCUGCAGACUUCUCUCCUCAAAAUGGGCAGUUAGCACAGACAUUUGGAACAAAGAACAAAGGAGUCCUUUGGGGCGCCUAAUGUCAAGGCAUUACUAUGAAUUAUGCUGACUACCUGUCUAGUUUAUAAGUCUGAACAUUUUAUUUUACUUAUUUUUUUGAGACAGGGUCUCCCUCUGUCACCCAGGCUGGAGUGCAAGUGGCACAAUUUUGGCUCACUGCAAGCUCUGCCUCCAAGGUUCAAGUGAUUCUCGUGCCUCAGCCUCCCAAGUGGCUGGGAUUACAGGCAUGUGCCACCACACCCGGCUAAUUUUUGUAUUUUUAGUGGAGACAAGGUUUUGCCAUGUUGGCCAGACUGGUCUCGAACUCCUGACCUCAGGUGAUCCGCCUGCCUUGGCCUCCCAAAGUGCUGGGAUUACAGGUGUGAGCCACCGCGCUCAGCCACAAGUCUGAACAUUUAAAUGGAUAUUCUAGGUGAAUUCACUUUAUGGGUCAUUUUCCCAUUUUCAAUUAUUUUUUAAAAAGCCACCUCAUAAAAAAAAUUCUACUCAAAAUCUCUACAGUCUCAAAAACUGUUGGCUUAUUAUUAAAAUGCCCUAAAUUUUUACUAAGAUGUUUUGUCUGAUAUAACACAUUUUUAGGCCAGGCACGGUGGCUCACACCUGUAAUCCUAGCACUCUGGGAGGCCAAAGCAGGUGGAUCACCUGAGGUCAGGAGUUCGAGACCAGCCUGACUAAAAUGGUGAAACUCCA
RNAcentral lists this long non-coding RNA (4252 nucleotides) under Homo sapiens (human). RNAcentral's name for it is "HSALNT0354394". Lineage: Eukaryota; Metazoa; Chordata; Mammalia; Primates; Hominidae. The record is from RNAcentral.